This is a long non-coding RNA of Drosophila albomicans, 928 nucleotides long. RefSeq lists it as uncharacterized. NCBI's taxonomy places the organism in Eukaryota, Metazoa, Arthropoda, Insecta, Diptera, Drosophilidae. The transcript is spliced from 5 exons. The record is from RefSeq and is a predicted model, not a curated record.
UUCGUUUUGAAAUAACUGCGCAACCGAAAACGAACAAAAUCAAGAAACCGACAAAAAGUUUUGGCAAAUUCUAACCGUGCAAACGCGACGACGACCGAAUUCUAACUGUAAGCGCAGUUUGUGCAUUCUUCUCUGUCUCCUGUAUUCUCCUGCACCUUCCAAAAAAAAUGUAUGCUGUGUGUGUGAGUGUGUAUACAUAGUAUGUGUGUAAAAGUAUGCGUGCACCCUUUGCUUAAAUACAGUGAAUGCUGUUUAGCAUCGAUCACUGAAAUUUAUGAGUAGAGUAAGCAGCAAAGAAGACUAUGCAAAAUGAUAAAGUUGUUUCUUUAAUUUGCUUCAUAUAUUUUAAUAUUUUUUGAAAUACCAUUAAUAACAAGUGAGUGUCCACUGUGAUUAAUAGUCAACUACAUAUUUAAAGGGUUGCCACCUAGUUUUGCCAUUCGCCCCCGCUCUUCACAAAUCAGUUUUUUCUCUUCUUUCGCGUGUGAAACAAGUGCAACUAGUGAGAAAGCAGCAGCAUAAUAAUUAGUGUAAAAAUAAAACAAAAUAAACGAAAAAACCAAACGAACUACAAUCAAAUAAUAAUAUUAAUAAAUAAAGUGCAAUCAAUUAAGUGCAAUUGGCAAUUACAAUUGGCAAAUGGCGCAUUGCAAGUGCAAGUGGCCAACCUCCGCCCCCCUCUCUCAUCGUCACCACCAUCAUCAUAAUGAUUGCCAGCAAAGUCUCAGCAAAGACAAAACGGGCAAAGACAAGUUGCGUUGUGAACUGAUUUGAUGAUUAUUUUUUGGAAAUUUGUUGUCGUUCAAUUUGAAACUGAUUUAGGAAGUCAAAGCCGACGUUACGCUCGACAGCAUAAAUCGGUAAAGAAAGUAAAGGAAAAUAUUGUGGAUGCAAAUAUUUGAUGCUGUCCUCGAAGAUUUGGGCAAGU